GCCCGGUAUCGGCCGACCCAGGGGUAUCAUUCCGACCGGGACGCUCCGGUGGACGCCUUUCAAACCGGCUAAGAUCCAAAGGCUAAGGCCGUCUUCGCCCGCCAUCCGGCAGGGGCGGCACGAAAACCAAAGGACGGAUAAGCGUGUAGAAAGCCGCCUGGUGCGGCGUUUGGACAGCGGUUCGAGUCCGCUCACCUCCACAG
RNAcentral lists this transfer-messenger RNA (203 nucleotides) under Bacteroidales bacterium. RNAcentral describes it as "partial transfer-messenger RNA". It matches the Rfam family "transfer-messenger RNA", at positions 161 to 374 of the family's 374-position model. Rfam says of the family: Bacterial tmRNA, also known as 10Sa RNA or SsrA, is named for its dual tRNA and mRNA-like properties. Its role is to liberate the mRNA from a stalled ribosome. To accomplish this part of the tmRNA is used as a reading frame that ends in a translation stop signal. Lineage: Bacteria; Pseudomonadati; Bacteroidota; Bacteroidia; Bacteroidales. The record is from RNAcentral.